AGGAAUGGCACUGUGAUAUGCCCUGCAGAGACCCAUGGGCACUGGGGUGCAGUGAGGCUCCUGGCUGGUGCUGUGCAGUGACCGUGGAGUGAUGCUGGGGUUGUGGGGGUAAAAAUUCCCCAAGACUGACCUGUCCCACACUUCUGCAAGGACCUCCCUGCAGCCCCCUAGACUGGUGCCAAGACCCUGUGUGUGCGGAGCCCUGCACUGGCCCAGGAAGUCAGGAUUCCUGGGUUCUGUUCCCAGCUCUCCCCCCUUGAGGCCUGCUGAUCGGGGGUGUGGGGUUCACCUACUCUCCCCAGCAGCUGCAGCUCCUGUCCUGCCAAUAAAGUUGUGUUGGUCUCUCCCCUGGGCUGAGUUGCCU
Molecule: long non-coding RNA, 364 nt
Filed under: Chrysemys picta bellii (western painted turtle)
Lineage: Eukaryota; Metazoa; Chordata; Testudines; Emydidae
Description: lncRNA (ENSCPBG00000011520.1)
Source: RNAcentral